Long non-coding RNA from Alosa sapidissima (American shad), 1202 nucleotides. RefSeq lists it as uncharacterized. The transcript is spliced from 3 exons. The record is from RefSeq and is a predicted model, not a curated record. Lineage: Eukaryota; Metazoa; Chordata; Actinopteri; Clupeiformes; Clupeidae.
GUGGGGUUAGAUUGCUCACGCUGAUGUUUGUCACGUCACUAUCAGCCUAAUUACUUGCCAAUCCCCCUGAUUAGCAGCCGCUGCCGUAACACCUUUAAAAAACCUGGAAGUACCGGUGAGUGACUGCGCUGUAAUUCUUGCUCCCCCUCCGUUGAGAAUGUUCCCUCUCUAGCGUGGUAGGUCUCUUUUCUUAGCGAGUUGUGUUGGCUUUCCACACUUUAUGUUUUAUUGGCUUACCUUUUGUCUUGUAGCCUCGUAACUGCUGUUUACCUCCUCCACCACUCCUGUUGAGGGUAUUCCUAUUUCCUGUCAGCUCAGUGCGGAUCUGUGACCUCACCGUAUCUGGAGCGGGUGCGUGUAGCCUUGUUGACUGGAAGGCCGGACUUCACAGGCGCUGCUGUUUUGUCUGAUUGAUUGCUGUCUAGUGUUUGUCUCUUUGUCUUGUUUGUAACUUGUGACUAUUUCGUGAGUUUAUUUUGUUUGUUUGUUCCGUCUUUUGUCCAGUCGCGUAUUGUUAGUGUCUGCGUCUGCUUUCGUAGACUGUCUUUAUUUUGGGUUUUCUUUUGGUUUUGUUGGUGAAGCUGCCUAAUUAUAACAUCUACUGCAUGAAGCUGCCUAAUUAUAACACCUACUGCAUGUUGCCAGUGUUUCCCGUGCGCUGUGGCAUGAUACGUAUCUCCCUCAGUUUUGUUUGCAUGUGAUUGUGUAUGCUGUAGCUUUGCAUGAUUUAAGCUUUGUCAGUGUCAGUGUUAGUGUUGCUGUCAUCAGUGUAUUGUGGUUGUGUCCUCUUUGGUUUAUUUACUGCUAUCCUCUGGUGCCUUAAUUGUUUUGUCUGUUUGUUUGUUUGUUUGGCAGGUCGGGGCGCUCCUAAGGGGAGGCUAGGCACCUGGUGGUGGGACCCUAUCACUGCAUGUUUGCUGUGCUUUAUUGGGCUGUGCCGUGCUGUGUGUUGCUGUGCUGUGCUGUGCUAUGCGGUGAGCUGUGCGGUUCAGUGUACUGCUUACCGUAGUCUGCCUUAUAGAGAAACUCACCUCACUCUGAGUGUGUGUACACGUGUGUUUGGUGUGAAUCUUGGAACACCAUCAUCCGUAGCGUGCCUCCCUUGGGUAAGCUCCCGCCUAGCUGCAUUUAUUGAAUUCUGUGGACGUUUUGUCUCCAAUGCCUAGACUCCAAUGUAUGAUCCCUAAGAUCAACUUUUAAGA